GAUGAACGCUAGCGGCAGGCUUAAAUACAUGCAAGUCGAGGGGCAGCGCGGGUAGCAAUACCUGGCGGCGACCGGCAAACGGGUGCGGAACACGUACGCAACCUUCCUUUAAGCGGGAAUAGCCCAGAGAAAUUUGGAUUAAUACCCCAUAAGAUAGUGCAGAAGCAUUUCUGAGCUAUUAAAGAUUAUCACUUAGAGAUGGGCGUGCGGCUGAGUUAGGUAGUUGGCGGGUAACGGCCCACCAAGCCUUCGAUCAGUAGCUGAUGUGAGAGCAUGAUC
Molecule: ribosomal RNA, 279 nt
Filed under: uncultured bacterium
Lineage: Bacteria
Description: partial 16S ribosomal RNA
Rfam family: Bacterial small subunit ribosomal RNA
Source: RNAcentral